Molecule: transfer RNA, 73 nt
Filed under: Felis catus (domestic cat)
Lineage: Eukaryota; Metazoa; Chordata; Mammalia; Carnivora; Felidae
Rfam family: tRNA
About the family: Transfer RNA (tRNA) molecules are approximately 80 nucleotides in length. Their secondary structure includes four short double-helical elements and three loops (D, anti-codon, and T loops). Further hydrogen bonds mediate the characteristic L-shaped molecular structure. tRNAs have two regions of fundamental functional importance: the anti-codon, which is responsible for specific mRNA codon recognition, and the 3' end, to which the tRNAs corresponding amino acid is attached (by aminoacyl-tRNA synthetases). tRNAs cope with the degeneracy of the genetic code in two manners: having more than one tRNA (with a specific anti-codon) for a particular amino acid; and 'wobble' base-pairing, i.e. permitting non-standard base-pairing at the 3rd anti-codon position.
Source: Rfam by way of RNAcentral
ACCUAGCUGGCUCAGUCAGUGGAACACAUGACUCUUAAUCUCGAGGUUGUGGGUUUGAACCCCACAUUGGGUG